AUGAUCACCGUUAUCAAGCAUGGGAACACAAUUGCAACUAGUGAAGAGGAGAUUGCGGAGGAAGUGGAUAGCUACUACUCCAAUGUGCUCGGGGCAGCGCCAGCAAGGGCCCACUCAAUUAAUUUGGAUGUGCUGCAGCUGCCGAGGAGGAACUUGGAGCACUUGGAGGUGCCGUUUUCAGAGGAGGAGGUGGAAAGGGUGAUCAAAGCAAUGCCGCUUGACAAAGCGCCUGGCCCGGAUGGUUUUACAGGACGAUUCUACGCUUCUUGUUGGCAGAUCAUCAAGACCGAUGUAAUGAGAGCACUUCAAGCCUUCUUUGAGGGAGAUAUGAGAGGUCUUCUGGCUCUAAACAAGGCCAUAGUUUCUCUCUUGCCCAAGAAGGAUGGAGCGGUGGAUAUUAAGGAUUUCCGGCCGGUGAGUUUGGAGCAUGGCAUCAUAAAAAUCUUUAACAAAAUCCUGGCGGCAAGACUUGUGGUGGAUCUGCCGGCCCUAGUGGGAAAGCACCAAAGUGCAUUCGUGAAUAGGCGCUCGAUACAUGACAAUUUCAUGUUGGUGCAAUGCACGGCACGGAGGCUGCAUGUGCUCAAAAAUCCAGCAGUAAUGAUCAAACUGGACAUCUCAAAGGCGUUCGAUUCGGUCCAGUGGCCUUUCCUCAUAGAGGUCAUGUAA
RNAcentral lists this ribosomal RNA (669 nucleotides) under Triticum aestivum (bread wheat). RNAcentral describes it as "partial small subunit ribosomal RNA". Lineage: Eukaryota; Viridiplantae; Streptophyta; Magnoliopsida; Poales; Poaceae. The record is from RNAcentral.